This is a long non-coding RNA of Prosopis cineraria, 482 nucleotides long. RefSeq lists it as uncharacterized. The transcript has 3 exons. The record is from RefSeq and is a predicted model, not a curated record. Lineage: Eukaryota; Viridiplantae; Streptophyta; Magnoliopsida; Fabales; Fabaceae.
GAGAGAGAGAGGAAGAAGAAAGGAGAAAGAGAGGGAGUUAGGCUCGGAUCUAGGAGUCUUUGUGACCGUUGCGAGCUCGGCUACACGAUAGAAAAUUGUUGGUGGAACUUAUUGAGAAGUAAGGAACAAGCCGAGCCCUAUUUUGUACAAGGGGAACCCUUUUAGUACCAAAGGGUUGAGGUCCAGGCGAAGGAUCCAGUGGUGGACGGGGAAAAGAGCAAAGCUAGGGGUUUGCUUGUGAUUUGUAAAGAACUGCAACCCCUUUCUUUUGAGCAAAUAUAUUGUAAUGUAUUUAAGAUUAGGGUGCCAGUAGGAUAUGAUUAUGUGUGUGUGUGUGUGAAUAUGUGUGGAUUGUGUGCUUGUGUAUGAAUUUUUGUCUGUUUGCAGACUUGUGGCUAGGAAACUUGGUUAUGGUGUGUGGUUUUGAUGGAUUUACUUAGUAGACCAAGUUUCUAUUACAAGCAGAUCUUUAUUUUGAUAUA